UACAGAGGUCUCGAGCGUUAGGCGGAAUCACUGGGCUUAAAGCGUGUGUAGGCGGAUCGUUAAGUGCCUUGUGAAAUCCCACGGCUCAACCGUGGAGCUGCUUGGCAUACUGGCGGUCUUGAGCAACCUAGGGGCGAGCGGAACAAAUGGUGGAGCGGUGAAAUGCGUAGAUAUCAUUUGGAACGCCAAUGGUGAAAACAGCUCGCUGGGGGUUUGCUGACGCUGAGACACGAAAGCCAGGGGAGCAAACGGG
Molecule: ribosomal RNA, 253 nt
Filed under: uncultured bacterium
Lineage: Bacteria
Description: partial 16S ribosomal RNA
Rfam family: Bacterial small subunit ribosomal RNA
Source: RNAcentral